GAAAAGACAUCAACCGAGAUUCCGUUAGUAGUGGCGAGCGAACGCGGACCAGCCGAGCCUUGAGAGAUAGCAGAACCAGCUGGGAAGCUGGGCGACAUGGGUGACAGCCCCGUAUGCGACAUCUCGAUGGGACACAUCAAGUAGGGCGGGACACGUGCAAUCCUGUCUGAAGAUCGGGGGACCACCCUCGAAGGCUAAGUACUCCUUGCUGACCGAUAGCGAACAAGUACCGUGAGGGAAAGGUGAAAAGCACCCCGACGAGGGGAGUGAAAUAGCACCUGAAACCGAAUGCUUACAAACAGUGGGAGCUCAAGGUUCGUCCUGAGUGACCGCGUACCUUUUGUAUAAUGGGUCAACGACUUGGUCUCACGAGCAAGCUUAAGCCGUUAGGUGUAGGCGCAGCGAAAGCGAGUCUGAACAGGGCGUUCAGUUCGUCGGAUUAGACCCGAAACCGGGUGAUCUAGUCAUGCCCAGGGUGAAGGUGCCGUAACAGGUACUG
Molecule: ribosomal RNA, 499 nt
Filed under: Pycnococcus provasolii
Lineage: Eukaryota; Viridiplantae; Chlorophyta; Pseudoscourfieldiophyceae; Pseudoscourfieldiales; Pycnococcaceae
Description: partial Bacterial large subunit ribosomal RNA
Rfam family: Bacterial large subunit ribosomal RNA
Source: RNAcentral